Molecule: ribosomal RNA, 497 nt
Filed under: uncultured bacterium
Lineage: Bacteria
Description: partial 16S ribosomal RNA
Rfam family: Bacterial small subunit ribosomal RNA
Source: RNAcentral
GACGAACGCUGGCGGCGUGCCUAAUACAUGCAAGUCGAGCGAUGAAGAUUGGUGCUUGCACCAAUUUGAAGAGCAGCGCACGGGUGAGUAACGCGUGGGGAAUCUGCCUUUGAGCGGGGGACAACAUUUGGAAACGAAUGCUAAUACCGCAUAACAACUUUAUACAUAAGGUUUAAGUGUGAAAGAUGCAAUUGCAUCACUCAAAGAUGAUCUCGCGGUGUAUUAGCUAGGUGGUGAGGUAAAGGCGCAUCAAGGCGAUGAUACAUAGCCGACCUGAGAGGGUGGUCGGCCACAUUGGGAGUGAGACCCGGCCCAAUGGCCUUCGGGAGGCAGCAGUACGGCUUCGGCGGGCAUCGACGAGAGACUUAGCGAGAUGGGCCGAGUGAGUGAAGAAGAAUUUCGGGUCGGAAAACUCGGUUGGUAGGGAAGAACGUUGGUGCGACUGGAAAGAACAUCGAGUGACGGUAACUAGCAAGGAAGCGACGGCUAACUACGUG